RNAcentral lists this long non-coding RNA (636 nucleotides) under Homo sapiens (human). Its description in RNAcentral is "HSALNT0037332". Lineage: Eukaryota; Metazoa; Chordata; Mammalia; Primates; Hominidae. The record is from RNAcentral.
CUCCUGAUGCUCCACCGGUGAGUGGUAAAGCCUGGGGAAAAUAAAUAUGACUUCUGUGACAUCAGUUAUAUUAAUGGGGAGACUCUGGAGCACUAUUGAAAUAGUUCCUUGCGGGUGUGAGAGGAAGGUCCUCACUGUGGGAGGAUGGAACACGGAAGAGGAAAGCAAAGCAGGAUGAACACAGAGUGAGACAGCCAGGCACAGCAAGGCAGCAGCUUCUGUUUCCUGCAGAGAUCAAGGAAUACAGGUGUCUGAAGCUUAAGGACAGGUGGCCUAUUGACUCUGCGUAGAGCAAUGGUGCUCACUUGGCAACACUCACAAUUGAAUCAGUGUCAAAUUGGUAUGUGUGGAGUAGAGUUUGGACAAGGUGAGUUCUACUCUACCUGUAACUGGCAAUGUCAUCUAGGGAACUGUGUAAGUACUUAUGUACCCUCUAUAGGCUCCCCUUUAUGAGAUCCCAAGAAUUGAAGAGUACUGCAAGUUUGAUCCUACUUACCCUAACUGGAUUAACCAAAUCUUGCCGACCUGUGUUUAUUACUAGUACUAAAUAUGAUCUAUGGUGAUAUUCGCUCCUUUUAUUAAUUCAUAUUAAACUUAUGGUAUACUAGAAUUUUGAGUAUUAUCUCACACGUAGCA